RNAcentral lists this ribosomal RNA (375 nucleotides) under uncultured Rhodoferax sp. RNAcentral describes it as "bacterial SSU rRNA". It matches the Rfam family "Bacterial small subunit ribosomal RNA", at positions 1005 to 1382 of the family's 1533-position model. Lineage: Bacteria; Pseudomonadati; Pseudomonadota; Betaproteobacteria; Burkholderiales; Comamonadaceae. The record is from RNAcentral.
UAGAGGGGUGCUCGAAAGAGAGCCGUAACACAGGUGCUGCAUGGCUGUCGUCAGCUCGUGUCGUGAGAUGUUGGGUUAAGUCCCGCAACGAGCGCAACCCUUGUCAUUAGUUGCUACAUUCAGUUGGGCACUCUAAUGAGACUGCCGGUGACAAGCCGGAGGAAGGUGGGGAUGACGUCAAGUCCUCAUGGCCCUUAUAGGUGGGGCUACACACGUCAUACAAUGGCUGGUACAAAGGGUUGCCAACCCGCGAGGGGGAGCCAAUCCCAUAAAGCCAGUCGUAGUCCGGAUCGUAGUCUGCAACUCGACUACGUGAAGUCGGAAUCGCUAGUAAUCGUGGAUCAGAAUGUCACGGUGAAUACGUUCCCGGGUCUU